This is a small nucleolar RNA of Gorilla gorilla gorilla (western lowland gorilla), 117 nucleotides long. Lineage: Eukaryota; Metazoa; Chordata; Mammalia; Primates; Hominidae. The record is from Ensembl.
GUUGGAUGAAAAUCAUCCCGGGCUUUGCCAGUGGCCGCGAGUGCCCAGAGCUUCCAGGGGCCUCAGCUCACCAUGCACUGCCCCGUGUGUGGCAGUGAAACCCAGGCCCUGACAGGC